Molecule: ribosomal RNA, 280 nt
Filed under: uncultured Streptococcus sp.
Lineage: Bacteria; Bacillati; Bacillota; Bacilli; Lactobacillales; Streptococcaceae
Description: partial 16S ribosomal RNA
Rfam family: Bacterial small subunit ribosomal RNA
Source: RNAcentral
UGAGUGAAGAAGGUUUUCGGAUCGUAAAGCUCUGUUGUUAAGGAAGAACGUGUGUGAGAGUGGAAAGUUCACACAGUGACGGUACUUAACCAGAAAGGGACGGCUAACUACGUGCCAGCAGCCGCGGUAAUACGUAGGUCCCGAGCGUUGUCCGGAUUUAUUGGGCGUAAAGCGAGCGCAGGCGGUUAGAUAAGUCUGAAGUGAAAGGCAGUGGCUCAACCAUUGUAGGCUUUGGAAACUGUUUAACUUGAGUGCAGAAGGGGAGAGUGGAAUUCCAUGU